RNAcentral lists this transfer RNA (73 nucleotides) under Ixodes scapularis (black-legged tick). It matches the Rfam family "tRNA". Rfam says of the family: Transfer RNA (tRNA) molecules are approximately 80 nucleotides in length. Lineage: Eukaryota; Metazoa; Arthropoda; Arachnida; Ixodida; Ixodidae. The record is from Rfam by way of RNAcentral.
ACCUGGUUAGCUCAGUUGGUAGAGCGCUCCACUUGUAAUGGAGAGGUCCCGGGUUCAGAACCCGGACCAGGCG